UAGGAUUUAGUUGAUGAACAACAUUAAAUUGCAAGUUUAAAGGAAAUUAUUUUAAUUCUAU
This 61-nucleotide transfer RNA is filed under the name Erpobdella octoculata. RNAcentral describes it as "tRNA-Cys". Lineage: Eukaryota; Metazoa; Annelida; Clitellata; Hirudinida; Erpobdellidae. RNAcentral also lists the same sequence under 2 other names. The record is from RNAcentral.